RNAcentral lists this ribosomal RNA (468 nucleotides) under uncultured bacterium. Its description in RNAcentral is "partial 16S ribosomal RNA". It matches the Rfam family "Bacterial small subunit ribosomal RNA", at positions 28 to 507 of the family's 1533-position model. The record is from RNAcentral.
GACGAACGCUGGCGGCGUGCUUAACACAUGCAAGUCGAACGGAAAGGCCCUGCUUUUGUGGGGUGCUCGAGUGGCGAACGGGUGAGUAACACGUGAGUAACCUGCCCUUGACUUUGGGAUAACUUCAGGAAACUGGGGCUAAUACCGGAUAGGAGCUCCUGCUGCAUGGUGGGGGUUAGAAAGUUUCGGCGGUUGGGGAUGGACUCGCGGCUUAUCAGCUUGUUGGUGGGGUAGUGGCUUACCAAGGCUUUGACGGGUAGCCGGCCUGAGAGGGUGACCGGCCACAUUGGGACUGAGAUACGGCCCAGACUCCUGCGGGAGGCAGCAGUGGGGAAUAUUGCACAAUGGGCGGAAGCCUGAUGCAGCAACGCCGCGUGCGGGAUGACGGCCUUCGGGUUGUAAACCGCUUUCGCCUGUGACGAAGCGUGAGUGACGGUAAUGGGUAAAGAAGCACCGGCUAACUACGUG